Molecule: long non-coding RNA, 918 nt
Filed under: Physcomitrium patens
Lineage: Eukaryota; Viridiplantae; Streptophyta; Bryopsida; Funariales; Funariaceae
Description: long non-coding RNA (PPAT_LNC004698)
Source: RNAcentral
UCCAAUUUAACCUAGCUUUAUCCAUGCAAUUUUCGUUCAUUUCAAAAUUUCAUAUCCAUGAUAAGUUCUUCUGAUCUAUAUAUCAUUUGUUUGAAUUCUCACAAGAGAGUAGUAACCAUUGAAGAAGAAUUUUUUCGCCUUGUGCCAUUCUUCAACCACCAAAUCCACCGAUGCAACAACCAGCCGGAGCUUGACUCCUUGAUAAUGGAUACACCUUGCUGAGUUAUUCUGUUUUCUUCUCUUCUUUGUGGUUGAUUUCUUUUGAUCUACUAUUGUAAUACCUUAGCUAACUACACAAGCACCGAGCCACCGGUUCUACAAGGCCCACCACUACUACAUGGCCAAAGGAAAAUUCUGCUAAGGAUACUCAAGGCCAUCAAGACCCUGAGUUGUGCCAGUGUUAUACCACCCACACAAUUCAAAUAGAAGGAUUGUGGGCAAUCCUACGGAAUCUAGCGUACAUUACAACUGCACACAAAAAUUGUAUUACACACAAAAAACCACAAAGAGUUGAAAAUGUUUUCAACCACAAGCCUUCCUACAACUCCUUCGUUUGAUCCUUUGAGCAAUACGUCCAUGGGUUAUGUUGCACAAAUUUGAUGUCGAUUAGAAGUCCAAGCAGUCGAUGUCACUGGUUGCCUUUGACCAACCACGACGCGUGCCCUUAUAGCGCCUCCACGCCAGUAUGCGAGUUGACAUACUAUAUCAAUUACAACCCCGGUCCAAACUUGCAAUGCCAUGCUUUCUCCUCCCAAAACGAGUAACUUAGGAAGGAAAAAAUGGGCCCAGACAAUUCCACUACAGGUGAACGUAGACACAAAAUCAAUGUAAGCUGAUAACAAGGGGGACUGUUGCGUCGCAACACCCAGCUUCUUAGUUGACCACCUCCACUUUCUCUGCAGGCGAGGAAUAAAAUCC